RNAcentral lists this ribosomal RNA (43 nucleotides) under Musa acuminata subsp. burmannicoides. Its description in RNAcentral is "partial 18S ribosomal RNA". Lineage: Eukaryota; Viridiplantae; Streptophyta; Magnoliopsida; Zingiberales; Musaceae. The record is from RNAcentral.
UCGUAACAAGGUUUCCGUAGGUGAACAUGCGGAAGGAUCAUUG